Molecule: ribosomal RNA, 253 nt
Filed under: uncultured bacterium
Lineage: Bacteria
Description: partial 16S ribosomal RNA
Rfam family: Bacterial small subunit ribosomal RNA
Source: RNAcentral
UACGGAGGGGGCUAGCGUUGUUCGGAAUUACUGGGCGUAAAGCGCACGUAGGCGGACGAGUAAGUCAGAGGUGAAAUCCCGGGGCUCAACUCUGGAACUGCCUUUGAAACUCCUUGUCUUGAGGUCGAGAGAGGUGAGUGGAAUUCCGAGUGUAGAGGUGAAAUUCGUAGAGAUUCGGAGGAACACCAGUGGCGAAGGCGGCUCACUGGCUCGACACUGACGCUGAGGCGCGAAAGCGUGGGGAGCAAACAGG